This 73-nucleotide transfer RNA is filed under the name Camelus bactrianus (Bactrian camel). It matches the Rfam family "tRNA". From Rfam's summary of the family: Transfer RNA (tRNA) molecules are approximately 80 nucleotides in length. The record is from Rfam by way of RNAcentral. RNAcentral also lists the same sequence under 2 other names. Lineage: Eukaryota; Metazoa; Chordata; Mammalia; Artiodactyla; Camelidae.
GAAGGUAUAGCUCAAGUGGUAGAGCAUGUGUUUAGUGUGCAUGACGUCCUGGGUUCAAUCCCCAGUUUCUCCU